UUUGGCCUACGGAGCGCAGCAGUGAGGAAUAUUGGUCAAUGGUCGGGAGACUGAACCAGCCAAGCCGCGUGAGGGAUGAAGGUACAGAGUAUCGUAAACCUCUUUUGUCAGGGAACAAAGUCGGGGACGUGUCCCCGGAUGAGUGUACCUGAAGAAAAAGCAUCGGCUAACUCCGUGCCAGCAGCCGCGGUAAUACGUAGGGGGCAAGCGUUAUCCGGAUUUACUGGGUGUAAAGGGAGCGUAGACGGUUAUGUAAGUCUGGAGUGAAAGCCCGGGGCCCAACCCCGGGACUGCUUUGGAAACUG
Molecule: ribosomal RNA, 305 nt
Filed under: uncultured bacterium
Lineage: Bacteria
Description: bacterial SSU rRNA
Rfam family: Bacterial small subunit ribosomal RNA
Source: RNAcentral